Long non-coding RNA from Oncorhynchus nerka (sockeye salmon), 1609 nucleotides. RefSeq lists it as uncharacterized. NCBI's taxonomy places the organism in Eukaryota, Metazoa, Chordata, Actinopteri, Salmoniformes, Salmonidae. The transcript has 3 exons. The record is from RefSeq and is a predicted model, not a curated record.
ACGACACAUUUCGUAGUUGCUCCAAAACGUAAACUUUCGAGGUGUUUUGGACAGCCUGGUGUUGUUGCUCCUCCUGCUGUGGCUCUUCCUGCAUUCAUUCCGAAACGGUUAAAUUAAGGGAUUUAGGGAUAAAAAAAGAAGAACUCAGAUUUAACACAAGACCCUCUAAAGCCGGAGCUCACUGCCACAUGCUUCCCAACCGAAACAGUUUAGUACAGUUCGUGCAUAUAUUAUGUUGAUAUUUUGUGACGUUUUUGUUAGUUUUGGAGUUCGGUUAGGGUUUUGUCAGCUGUUCGGGCAAACUUUACGGGUGACUUGAGUUUCUGCUUUUUGUCAAUUCAGCCCGAAACUCAGUAUGGAUUGAACAUGGCGAACGGACAACUUCGAGCAUUGAUUAACCGAGGAGGUACACAUGUACCUUUCACCAGUACGAUUCUAGCCAAUUCAUGGAGGUAGAUAGCGGAGACUCUGGGGGUCCGACCCAACCAGUUGUUUGUCAAGGUAAGGCAAAGAAAAGAAACAAGGGUCACAGUGGAGAUGCCGGUGGAAAGGCUACUCCACUGUGGAGAUGCAGGUGGAAAGGCUACUCCACUGUGGAGAUGCAGGUGGAAAGGCUACACCACUGUGGAGAUGCAGGUGGAAAGGCUAAUCCACUGUGGAGAUGCAGGUGGAAAGGCUACUCCACUGUGGAGAUGCAGGUGGAAAGGCUACUCCACUGUGGAGAUGCAGGUGGAAAGGCUAAUCCACUGUGGAGAUGCAGGUGGAAAGGCUAAUCCACUGUGGAGAUGCAGGUGGAAAGGCUACUCCACUGUCAAGAUGCAGGUGGAAAGGCUACUCCACUGUGGAGAUGCAGGUGGAAAGGCUACUCCACUGUGGAGAUGCAGGUGGAAAGGCUACUCCACUGUGGAGAUGACGGUGGAAAGGCUACUCCACUGUGGAGAUGACGGUGGAAAGGCUACUCCAGAAAUAUUGUGUAUGGCUUGUUCGGCACGUGAAGCAUGGGAAGACUGAAAGCAACAUGCUGUCUUCACCAAAGGAUGGGCGAAUGGAGACAGCACCUGUUUUAGUUCUCUGCACCCCAGCACUGCCUCUUCACUGGCCCCAAACACUACCUCUGCCCCCAGAGUACUGACUGAUGAUCGACCCCUAGCCCAUCUCCCCCAAAAUUAGAAACAUGUGGGACCUGGGAAGCUCUAUCCUGGGCCCACCUCCAAGACCUACUCCACUGGCCUGUUCCUCAGGGAUGCCACAAAAGAUUGAAGACGUAUCUCAAUAUCUGGAGAACGCAAUGCACCGAGUCACCAGCUUGUCCCAAAGGGUCCUGGAACCUAUAGCUGAUUUCCUGGAUGAACUCUCGCCAAAACUCUGGGAGGAAUUUGAUCCCCAGCUGCAUGACUUCAGGAAGAAGAUAUGGGCCGAACAACUUGGUACUUUUCUUUUACUCCAUAACACUUUUGUUAUUUACAUGUCUGCUCAUAAGACACUGUUUUACUAUUGUUCUGAAAUAUGAAGCUACUCUGACACAUUUUUACUCCAUAGACACUUGUUUACACGUCUGUUCUCAGCAGACACUUUUGUAUUGUGGUUGUACUUUCAGAAGCAAGAAUAA